GACGAACGCUGGCGGCGUGCUUAACACAUGCAAGUCGAGCGGUAAGGCCCUUUCGGGGGUACACGAGCGGCGAACGGGUGAGUAACACGUGGGUGACCUGCCCUCAGCUCUGGGAUAAGCCUGGGAAACCGGGUCUAAUACCAGAUAUGACUCCAUGACGCAUGUUGUGGGGUGGAAAGCCUUGUGCGGCUGAGGAUGGGCCCGCGGCCUAUCAGCUUGUUGGUGGGGUGANGGCCUACCAAGGCGACGACGGGUAGCCGGCCUGAGAGGGCGACCGGCCACACUGGGACUGAGACACGGCCCAGACUCCUACGGGAGGCAGCAGGUGGGGAAUCUUGCGCAAUGGGCGAAAGCCUGACGCAGCGACGCCGCGUGAGGGAUGACGGCCUCGG
This 392-nucleotide ribosomal RNA is filed under the name uncultured bacterium. RNAcentral describes it as "bacterial SSU rRNA". It matches the Rfam family "Bacterial small subunit ribosomal RNA", at positions 28 to 420 of the family's 1533-position model. The record is from RNAcentral.